CCCUCUCAGGAUGAACGCUGGCGGCGUGCCUAAUACAUGCAAGUCGAGCGAACUGAUUAGAAGCUUGCUUCUAUGACGUUAGCGGCGGACGGGUGAGUAACACGUGGGCAACCUGCCUGUAAGACUGGGAUAACUUCGGGAAACCGAAGCUAAUACCGGAUAGGAUCUUCUCCUUCAUGGGAGAUGAUUGAAAGAUGGUUUCGGCUAUCACUUACAGAUGGGCCCGCGGUGCAUUAGCUAGUUGGUGAGGUAACGGCUCACCAAGGCAACGAUGCAUAGCCGACCUGAGAGGGUGAUCGGCCACACUGGGACUGAGACACGGCCCAGACUCCUACGGGAGGCAGCAGUAGGGAAUCUUCCGCAAUGGACGAAAGUCUGACGGAGCAACGCCGCGUGAGUGAUGAAGGCUUUCGGGUCGUAAAACUCUGUUGUUAGGGAAGAACAAGUACAAGAGUAACUGCUUGUACCUUGACGGUACCUAACCAGAAAGCCACGGCUAACUACGUGCCAGCAGCCGCGGUAAUACGUAGGUGGCAAGCGUUAUCCGGAAUUAUUGGGCGUAAAGCGCGCGCAGGCGGUUUCUUAAGUCUGAUGUGAAAGCCCACGGCUCAACCGUGGAGGGUCAUUGGAAACUGGGGAACUUGAGUGCAGAAGAGAAAAGCGGAAUUCCACGUGUAGCGGUGAAAUGCGUAGAGAUGUGGAGGAACCACCCAGUGGCGAAGGCGGCUUUUUGGUUCUGUAACUACGCU
RNAcentral lists this ribosomal RNA (749 nucleotides) under Priestia megaterium. RNAcentral's name for it is "bacterial SSU rRNA". It matches the Rfam family "Bacterial small subunit ribosomal RNA", at positions 19 to 747 of the family's 1533-position model. The record is from RNAcentral. Lineage: Bacteria; Bacillati; Bacillota; Bacilli; Caryophanales; Bacillaceae.